GAUGAACGCUAGCGGCAGGCUUAACACAUGCAAGUCGAGGGGUAUGCCGAUUUAUCGGCAGAGACCGGCGCACGGGUGCGUAACGCGUAUGCAAUCUACCUUUCACAGAGGGAUAGCCCAGAGAAAUUUGGAUUAAUACCUCAUAGUAUAGCAGUUUCGCAUGAAACCACUAUUAAAGUUCCAACGGUGAAAGAUGAGCAUGCGUCCCAUUAGCUAGAUGGUAAGGUAACGGCUUACCAUGGCUACGAUGGGUAGGGGUCCUGAGAGGGAGAUCCCCCACACUGGUACUGAGACACGGACCAGACUCCUACGGGAGGCAGCAGUGAGGAAUAUUGGUCAAUGGACGCAAGUCUGAACCAGCCAUGCCGCGUGCAGGAUGACGGUCCUAUGGAUUGUAAACUGCUUUUGUACGAGAAGAAACAACAUUACGUGUAAUGUCUUGACGGUAU
This 449-nucleotide ribosomal RNA is filed under the name uncultured bacterium. RNAcentral describes it as "bacterial SSU rRNA". It matches the Rfam family "Bacterial small subunit ribosomal RNA", at positions 28 to 478 of the family's 1533-position model. The record is from RNAcentral.